UCUCCGUAGGUGAACCUGCGGAGGGAUCAUUACAGAGUUCAUGCCCUACCGGGUAGAUCUCCCACCCUAUGUUAUUGUUACUUUGUUGCUUUGGCGGGCCGUUAGGCUCCGGCCCGACUACCGGCCCCGGCUGGUAAGCGCCCGCCAGAGGACCCAAAACCCUGAAUAUUAGUGUCGUCUGAGUACUAUAUAAUAGUUAAAACUUUCAACAACGGAUCUCUUGGUUCUG
This 229-nucleotide unclassified non-coding RNA is filed under the name plant metagenome. RNAcentral's name for it is "partial contains small subunit ribosomal RNA, internal transcribed spacer 1, and 5.8S ribosomal RNA". The record is from RNAcentral.